Molecule: ribosomal RNA, 468 nt
Filed under: uncultured bacterium
Lineage: Bacteria
Description: partial 16S ribosomal RNA
Rfam family: Bacterial small subunit ribosomal RNA
Source: RNAcentral
GACGAACGCUGGCGGCGUGCUUAACACAUGCAAGUCGAACGGAAAGGCCCUGCUUUUGUGGGGUGCUCGAGUGGCGAACGGGUGAGUAACACGUGAGUAACCUGCCCUUGACUUUGGGAUAACUUCAGGAAACUGGGGCUAAUACCGGAUAGGAGCUCCUGCUGCAUGGUGGGGGUUGGAAAGUUUCGGCGGUUGGGGAUGGACUCGCGGCUUAUCAGCUUGUUGGUGGGGUAGUGGCUUACCAAGGCUUUGACGGGUAGCCGGCCUGAGAGGGUAACCGGCCACAUUGGGACUGAGAUACGGCCCAGACUCCUACGGGAGGCAGCAGUGGGGAAUAUUGCACAAUGGGCGGAAGCCUGAUGCAGCAACGCCGCGUGCGGGAUGACGGCCUUCGGGUUGUAAACCGCUUUCGCCUGCGACGAAGCGUGAGUGACGGUAAUGGGUAAAGAAGCACCGGCUAACUACGUG